Molecule: transfer RNA, 76 nt
Filed under: Defluviimonas salinarum
Lineage: Bacteria; Pseudomonadati; Pseudomonadota; Alphaproteobacteria; Rhodobacterales; Paracoccaceae
Description: tRNA-Phe
Rfam family: tRNA
About the family: Transfer RNA (tRNA) molecules are approximately 80 nucleotides in length. Their secondary structure includes four short double-helical elements and three loops (D, anti-codon, and T loops). Further hydrogen bonds mediate the characteristic L-shaped molecular structure. tRNAs have two regions of fundamental functional importance: the anti-codon, which is responsible for specific mRNA codon recognition, and the 3' end, to which the tRNAs corresponding amino acid is attached (by aminoacyl-tRNA synthetases). tRNAs cope with the degeneracy of the genetic code in two manners: having more than one tRNA (with a specific anti-codon) for a particular amino acid; and 'wobble' base-pairing, i.e. permitting non-standard base-pairing at the 3rd anti-codon position.
Source: RNAcentral
GCGUCGGUAGCUCAGCCGGUAGAGCACCGGAUUGAAGAUCCGGGUGUCGCAGGUUCAAUUCCUGCCCGUCGCACCA